CCUACGGGUGGCAGCAGUGAGGAAUAUUGGUCAAUGGACGAGAGUCUGAACCAGCCAAGUAGCGUGAAGGAUGACGGCCCUAUGGGUUGUAAACUUCUUUUAUAAGGGAGUAAAAGGAGGUACGUGUGCCUGUUUGCAUGUAUUUUAUGAAUAAGGAUCGGCUAACUCCGUGCCAGCAGCCGCGGUAAUACGGAGGAUCCGAGCGUUAUCCGGAUUUAUUGGGUUGAAAGGGUGCGUAGACGGGUGGAUAAGUCAGUUGUGAAAGCUUGAGGCUCAACCGUAAAAUUGCAAUUGAUACUGGUAGUCUUGAGUACAGUUGAGGGAGGCGGAAUUCGUGGUGUAGCGGUGAAAUGCUUAGAUAUCACGAAGAACACCGAUUGCGAAGGCAGCUUACUAAACUGUGACUGACAUUGAUGCUCGAAAGUGUGGGUAGCAAACAGGAUUAGAUACCCUAGUAGUC
This 460-nucleotide ribosomal RNA is filed under the name uncultured bacterium. Its description in RNAcentral is "partial 16S ribosomal RNA". It matches the Rfam family "Bacterial small subunit ribosomal RNA", at positions 338 to 795 of the family's 1533-position model. The record is from RNAcentral.